CGUUGCUACUUCCGUUAUUCACAAACGACGCCAUUUUGGUUGUUGCUGCUGCACUUUGUUUCCACGUCUGUGUUUGCAUUUUGCUCAUUAUCCCGCACGUAUCGCACGUUCUUCACGAUGUAUGCCACUGUUGCUUUGGUUUAUCAUCAAGCUCAGGACGAUCUCCACAGGUUUAGGACCUACCAGGCCCCCGUCUCCCAAACGACUCUUCCUGUCCCUGAUCCUUUCAGAUAUAUCAA
Molecule: unclassified non-coding RNA, 239 nt
Filed under: Haliotis rufescens (red abalone)
Lineage: Eukaryota; Metazoa; Mollusca; Gastropoda; Lepetellida; Haliotidae
Description: uncharacterized LOC124140157, transcript variant X5
Source: RNAcentral